GAGGGUGUAGCUCAAGCGGUAAAGUGCAUGCUUAGCAUGCACGAGGUCCUGGGUUCAAUCCCCAAUACCUCCU
This is a transfer RNA of Camelus ferus (Wild Bactrian camel), 73 nucleotides long. It matches the Rfam family "tRNA". Rfam says of the family: Transfer RNA (tRNA) molecules are approximately 80 nucleotides in length. Their secondary structure includes four short double-helical elements and three loops (D, anti-codon, and T loops). Further hydrogen bonds mediate the characteristic L-shaped molecular structure. tRNAs have two regions of fundamental functional importance: the anti-codon, which is responsible for specific mRNA codon recognition, and the 3' end, to which the tRNAs corresponding amino acid is attached (by aminoacyl-tRNA synthetases). tRNAs cope with the degeneracy of the genetic code in two manners: having more than one tRNA (with a specific anti-codon) for a particular amino acid; and 'wobble' base-pairing, i.e. permitting non-standard base-pairing at the 3rd anti-codon position. NCBI's taxonomy places the organism in Eukaryota, Metazoa, Chordata, Mammalia, Artiodactyla, Camelidae. The record is from Rfam.